AAAACGGUCCUUUUCAGGGCCACCAGUUGCUUUAGAAAAGUGAAC
This is a non-coding RNA of Daphnia magna, 45 nucleotides long. The record is from Rfam. NCBI's taxonomy places the organism in Eukaryota, Metazoa, Arthropoda, Branchiopoda, Diplostraca, Daphniidae.